RNAcentral lists this long non-coding RNA (1144 nucleotides) under Mus musculus (house mouse). RNAcentral's name for it is "predicted gene 15889, transcript variant 2 (Gm15889)". Lineage: Eukaryota; Metazoa; Chordata; Mammalia; Rodentia; Muridae. The record is from RNAcentral.
AUUCCUGCAGCCUGAGCUGGGCCAGCUGCUGUUCCACGGGACAGGCAGUCUAAUCAGACAGCCCUACCUACUACUCCACUACACCACUACAGUCCAGUCCCCUGCGGGAGAGAGGCAGUGGGGCCCAGGGAUCUUUCAGCAUUUGCUAUGUGGCAGCUGUUACUUUGUUUUCUUCUCUUGGCUUGAAAGGCUGGGAACUCAGAGCCAACGGAACAGCAACAACAACAAUACCGAGUUUCCACAGAGUCCCUGUGGACCCAGCACCUGGCCAGUGCUCAAGAGCGCCCUAGCACCAAUGGUUUCAUCACCCUUUAAAAGAAGUUCUGGACGGUCCUUUCAUUUGCAGAUACCAUCUAAAACUGUGGAUUUCUCAUGGAAAGUCUCAGCGAUGACUUUCGUCCCUUGAUCCACUUGAAGUCCUGUCUCUGAGGGGCACAGAAGCCAACCAGUGACGGCAGAGAGGAGUGGCAGGAACCAGGAGGUUGACUGGGGAAGGGGUGCUGAGGAGGAUGGGGGUGGGGGUGGGGCAGGGAGAUAGGAAUGUUCUGUGUUGUGAGAGAGGUAUGGGUUACAGAGGCAAAAACAGUGGCCAAGAUAUGUGUCAAUCAUAACUCAGUCCCAGUUAAACACCCAGUUUAAAGAGCUGCUCGAUGCUUCCGUUUGCCUACCUGUAAGGUGGAAACGGCAGCACCAUACUCUCUAAGGCAGUGCUGGGCGAUUGAACGAUGAGGCCGUGCAUGCUCCCUGAGGCUGUGCUAUGCAGCUAACCGUUGUGGGUGGUGGCUGUUAUCCUUACAAUUUCUAUGCAAAAGGCAGUCUUCACUGUCUAAGCCCUUGUUCCUCCCGCCUUGAUUUUUCGGGGUAUCUCCUCCCUGCCAUAGUGUAAUUCCACCUGCCUCCAAAUCUGUAUCUCUUCUUCCAUUGCAAAGUAGCAUGACCCAGCCUCAAGUCUGUCUCUCUCUGUAAUGGCUUUGACCCCAACUACCCAAAUUCCCCAAAUACUCUUCUAAGAGGGACCACAGUCUUCGCUGAGCUGGCCCUAAGACUUCCUUCCACUCAGUCUCACUGAUGUUAAUAUGGCUAUUAUUAUUAUUAUUAUCAUCAUUAUCACCAUCUAAAAAUAAAUCCUGUACUUGUUGCCACA